ACCGAUAAUAAAACGCACAAACCUCUUCCCCUUCUUCUCUUCGCACAAAGUCUGUCUCCUUCUUGCUCUCUCAUUCUUCCACCACAAGAUCAAAUCCAGACCUCAUAUGGACGAAACUCCGACACACCGCUAUAGUAAAAUAUAGAAAAAAAUAAAUAAUAAUUUAAUUAACUUGGAGAUUUUCAUAGGUUUCUCACUGAAAAACAUUCUGAGUACACAUAUUUAUGGGGUAUAAGAAAACUCAGGAAGACUUCAACCAUAGAAAUAUAGAUGCUAAAACUUUUUGUUAACGGUUAAGACGCAGGCAUUCAAUGUUCUUCGAAGUAUUGUCCUUACAAAUCCUCCAUACGAAAAUGUCUCUCUCAGGGUUUCAGAAGAUUGGAUAUAUUUGGGCUUGGAUACGAAAUUGAAACACCCAAUUUAGGACGAAGAAAGGUAGUUUGGUUAAAAAUUCCACAAGUUUUUUCAGUUCCUCGGUGGAGGUAUUACUCAAAAAAUCUUUCAAGAGGAAGAGUUCAAUUUUUCGGGUUUUAGCUCUUUGGUCUUUGGGGUUUCCGUGAAAUACACAAAUUUCAUUCGUUAUUUAUGUUUGUGUAUCCGAAUACUACUGUCAAAACAUAGCGAUAUGCCAAACGAAAAGAAAAUUAUCUUCAUUGGAAAUUUCGAAUCAAAUAUCCAUUAGUUUUCCCUGGGAUGUAUCACGGAGAUAAGAACUCCAGGGUCUAUCAUGACCUGUAAAAGUGUGGCGUUUGUCCCUUUUAAUUUUCACUGCAGCCUAUGACUACCGAUAUAAGCUUUUGAGCAGCCAGGAUAGUGUGAACAUAUAUUCCUAUGCAAUUUCUGGCGAAGGAAAAUGACAGUAACAUAUUCAUGUUAUUUGAAGUUCGAGGUAUGUGACACUGCUCCUCGACUCCGGAUAAAAUUUGGUUUUCCACACACGUUCUUUGUGAGGCAUCGUAAUACUCGGUGUUUCUAUGAUAGCAGCAGUUUAAGAAAUCCAUAUUCGUGUGAUUAUUAAGAGCAAGUUUUAUGGUGGAAUCCAACCUAUUCCAAGUUUUCGGGAGCUGCUGAGUCCCAAUGGUUAUGCCAAAUGACGACAAACAUGGUAACGAUUUUGAAACUGACAAAGGCAUAUUAUUUUCAGGUGUUACCAUAAGUGUUGAGGGCAUAAAUUUUUCAGGUGUGGGAUAUGUACUUAUUCCCUAUCAAUUCUAUGAACCCAAUUUGGAUCAAUGUUUGUAAGGGCUAAUAUCAUAUAUUUAACAAACAAAAAACCCUACAGUUUUGGGAGCAAUACGAAAAGUUGUUGGCAUCAAAAGAAGUUAAGUCUUCGGGACAUUUGAUACGAAAUUAAUUAUUAACCAACAUCAAGCCCCGUGUCGUGAUGGCACGGGUAAAGGCC
This is a long non-coding RNA of Papaver somniferum (opium poppy), 1402 nucleotides long. RefSeq lists it as uncharacterized. NCBI's taxonomy places the organism in Eukaryota, Viridiplantae, Streptophyta, Magnoliopsida, Ranunculales, Papaveraceae. The record is from RefSeq and is a predicted model, not a curated record. The transcript is spliced from 8 exons.